This is an RNA transcript of Helianthus annuus (common sunflower), 1645 nucleotides long. RefSeq lists it as uncharacterized. The record is from RefSeq and is a predicted model, not a curated record. Lineage: Eukaryota; Viridiplantae; Streptophyta; Magnoliopsida; Asterales; Asteraceae. The transcript is spliced from 7 exons.
AUCUCAACCAUUGGAUGAAAAUGAGGUUAAAUCCUGGCCCUUAUAAUUCAUAGAAAGCUUCUAGAAGGGGAAGUUUUUUCACGGUUAUUUUGGAUUCCUUUGACCUGCACAUCAGAAAUUCUUGGAAGGAUAAAGCCCACGAUCUUCAGUUAGCGACGGUUUUCAGCUUUUCAUCUAUAACCGGUUGUGGCCCCUUUCUCCGGUGAUUCUAAAUGCAAAAGAUACAUACAUGUUAAAUCCUUGUCUCUCUUCUUCAUCGCAUCUUCUCUCUGUGCUUCUCUGGUCCCUCGUCUCGGUAAUUAUUCAUAACAGCAGUCAAAAUUGGUUGCCUAUAUGUCCCAUCUCCACAACCUAAAUCUGCAUUUUCACCUUCGAAUUACCAUCUGUUCAAGGCAAACCUUGGUGUUGGAACAUAGCGCACAUCAUUACCUGGAGUGGCCAACUCUUCCAUGCUGCUAAAGAUCUGAAAAGCCCUAUGUAUACAGAGAUGGACUAAGCGAAGCCUAACAAAAGUCUCAGUGUGUAGAAUGUGGAAUAUCACAAGAGUUCUAUGGAGGCUGCAAGAAGUUCAAGUAUUAAGGCGAGGCAAUUAGCGGCUUCUAGUCUCUGGUGUCUCCUUUUUCAAUUGGAUUUUAAAGUAAUUGACGGUGAUGCUGCCAAAUUAAAUCAUAAUUGUGCAGUUCUGAUCAGAGUAAAUUUCAUUGGUGCUGCAAUGUAAUGGGAACAUGAUAAAAUUGUUACGUGUUGGUUAUAUGAGUCAAAGUCAUGGUCAAAGCUCCUACUCCUCUGAUGAGUUCCCUAACUCAAAGACGAAGGUGUCAUGGGUUACCAAUGAAGAUGGUUAGCUUGGUAUUUCACAUUUUCACUCAUUCCAUGAAGAGCUUUGUUAACUCAGUCAAUUUGUUGUUGCUUGCAGUUAAAAGGGGUAAAUACAUCGGUUUGCAGGUUCAUGUUAAAUUCCAAAUAUGUAUUUACACAUCUUGGACAUUAAUUUAUCUUAAAUCCCAAAAUUUAAUUGCCACUGUUUAAGAAACUAGCCAUUAUUUUAUUUUUUGUUGCAGAUGUAUCGAAUGGUAAAGACAACUGAUCGGGCACCGGCUUCUUCAGACCAGCUGUUUUCCAAUGUUAACUAGGGCAGUUUAUCUUUGCGAAAACUCUUCAUCCAGGGAUAAUUAUGAUGAUAUGCUAUCUGACAUUCGUAACCCACGAACCAAAGAACGAUCAGCUGAAAGAUAGAGGAAGGUCUAGAUUUUACCAGGAAAAAUAUUAUCAGUAUGGAGCAAUUCUUCAAGGUGUCAAGUACAUUGAAAAUGAACAAUGUUCAUGACGAGACAUAGCAUGGCGAGGCGACACAAUGUGUAGGAACGGCGUCAAGGCCUUUGAGCUAAUACCACCCUUAACUAUUUCAAUUGAGCCUUCAAAACCUUAUAUUGAGCCGCUUAGGUCAGGGGUCUUUCCCCCAAAAGCCGAAAAGUGGCACAACACUGAGAUGGCAUUGUUGUUGUUGCGGUUCAGGAACUUUAGUGUUUCCCGCCAGCUGUUUCAAAUGAAUGUCCAAAAAAAUUGUAAUAACUUUCUUUAGUUUGUAGGAAAAGGCAUUGCAAGUUUAUAGAAAUGUUUGAACAGAGCACGGUAAUUUUCGAAA